UACAGAAAAGAUUCUGAAAACAAAAUCAAUGUUCAAAAAUCCAUAGCAUUCUAAGCUUAACAGGGUUGGGCCUGGUUAGUACUUGGAUGGGAGACCACCUAGGAAGACCAGGUACUGUAG
RNAcentral lists this ribosomal RNA (120 nucleotides) under Pteropus vampyrus (large flying fox). The record is from RNAcentral. Lineage: Eukaryota; Metazoa; Chordata; Mammalia; Chiroptera; Pteropodidae.